RNAcentral lists this ribosomal RNA (253 nucleotides) under uncultured bacterium. RNAcentral describes it as "partial 16S ribosomal RNA". It matches the Rfam family "Bacterial small subunit ribosomal RNA", at positions 524 to 776 of the family's 1533-position model. The record is from RNAcentral.
UACGUAGGGUGCGAGCGUUGUCCGGAAUUAUUGGGCGUAAAGAGCUCGUAGGCGGUUUGUCGCGUCGACUGUGAAAACCCGAGGCUUAACCUCGGGCCUGCAGUCGAUACGGGCAGACUAGAGUUCGGUAGGGGAGAUCGGAAUUCCUGGUGUAGCGGUGAAAUGCGCAGAUAUCAGGAGGAACACCGGUGGCGAAGGCGGAUCUCUGGGCCUUACCUGACGCUGAGGCGCGAAAGCUAGGGGAGCGAACAGG